UGGUGGAGUGAUUUGUCUGGUUAAUUCCGUUAACGAACGAGACCUCCGCAUCUAAAUAGUUUCGCUUACAUUUUUGUAGGUUUUGAGACUUCUUAGAGGGACUUUUGGGUAAUCAAACCAAGGAAGUUGGAGGCAAUAACA
Molecule: ribosomal RNA, 141 nt
Filed under: uncultured eukaryote
Lineage: Eukaryota
Description: partial 18S ribosomal RNA
Rfam family: Eukaryotic small subunit ribosomal RNA
Source: RNAcentral